ACUAGUCAUGCACAAAAUGGCGGACACUGCAAGUCAGAAAGAAUUUGAGGGUCGAAGCCACUGAAAACGAAUAAAAGAAGACAAAGGAAAGCUCAACCUAGUAUGACGACUCAAUGCAGCCCUACAGACCACAUCAAGGAAAGGAAAUCUCCCCUUUUUGCCCGAAGAUCGUACCAUCAAUCAAACCGUAACACCAACGUGCAAGACUUCUCUGUGGUGACUUACAAUACUCUAUCUGAUGUUGCUUUGCUGAACAGUCCAAGUUAUGAUUACUGCGAGAAGAAGUUCAAGGAGAGAUCUGCUGGGUCCCAAUACAAUACAGUACAAUACAAUUUUAUUUGGCACCUUA
Long non-coding RNA from Actinia tenebrosa (Australian red waratah sea anemone), 349 nucleotides. The record is from RefSeq and is a predicted model, not a curated record. Lineage: Eukaryota; Metazoa; Cnidaria; Anthozoa; Actiniaria; Actiniidae.